RNAcentral lists this ribosomal RNA (3009 nucleotides) under Halomonas icarae. RNAcentral describes it as "Halomonas sp. D1-1 23S ribosomal RNA". It matches the Rfam family "Bacterial large subunit ribosomal RNA". Lineage: Bacteria; Pseudomonadati; Pseudomonadota; Gammaproteobacteria; Oceanospirillales; Halomonadaceae. The record is from RNAcentral.
GUUAUAUGGUCAAGCGAUGAAGCGCAUACGGUGGAUGCCUAGGCAGCCAGAGGCGAUGAAAGACGUGGAAGCCUGCGAUAAGGCUCGGCGAGGUGGCAAACAACCUGUGACCCGGGCAUCUCUGAAUGGGGAAACCCACCCACGGUAACGUGGGUAUCCCGCACUGAAUACAUAGGUGACGGGAGGCGAACCAGGGGAACUGAAACAUCUAAGUACCCUGAGGAAAAGAAAUCAACCGAGAUUCCCCCAGUAGCGGCGAGCGAACGGGGACCAGCCCUUAAGCCGGUGACUGAUUAGACGAACGCGUUGGGAAGCGCGGCCAUAGCGGGUGAUAGCCCCGUAGUCGAAAAUCUGAUCCGGUGAAAUCGAGUAGGUCGGGGCACGAGAAACCUUGACUGAAGACGGGGGGACCAUCCUCCAAGGCUAAAUACUCCUGGCUGACCGAUAGUGAACCAGUACCGUGAGGGAAAGGCGAAAAGAACCCCGGAGAGGGGAGUGAAAUAGAUCCUGAAACCGUAUGCGUACAAGCAGUGGGAGCAGACUCGUUCUGUGACCGCGUACCUUUUGUAUAAUGGGUCAGCGACUUAUUUUCAGUGGCGAGCUUAACCGUAUAGGGGAGGCGUAGGGAAACCGAGUCUUAACUGGGCGACCAGUCGCUGGGAAUAGACCCGAAACCGGGCGAUCUAUCCAUGAGCAGGUUGAAGGUUGAGUAACAUCAACUGGAGGACCGAACCCACGUAUGUUGAAAAAUGCGGGGAUGACUUGUGGAUCGGAGUGAAAGGCUAAUCAAGCCCGGAGAUAGCUGGUUCUCCUCGAAAGCUAUUUAGGUAGCGCCUCACGUAGCACCGCCGGGGGUAGAGCACUGUUUCGGCUAGGGGGUCAUCCCGACUUACCAACCCGAGGCAAACUCCGAAUACCGGUGAGUGACGCGUGGGAGACACACAGUGGGUGCUAACGUCCAUUGUGAAAAGGGAAACAACCCAGACCGUCAGCUAAGGUCCCCAAAUCCUGGUUAAGUGGGAAACGAUGUGGGAAGGCUCAGACAGCUAGGAGGUUGGCUUAGAAGCAGCCAUCCUUUAAAGAAAGCGUAAUAGCUCACUAGUCGAGUCGGCCUGCGCGGAAGAUAUAACGGGGCUAAACCAGGUACCGAAGCUACGGGUUCAUCGAAUGAUGAGCGGUAGAGGAGCGUCGUGUAAGCCAAUGAAGGUGAGUCGAGAGGCUUGCUGGAGGUAUCACGAGUGCGAAUGCUGACAUGAGUAACGACAAGGGAGGNNNNNNNNNNNNNNNNNNNNNNNNNNNNNNNNNNNNNNNNNNNNNNNNNNNNNNNNNNNNNNNNNNNNNNNNNNNNNNNNNNNNNNNNNNNNNNNGAGGUGAAAAACCUCCCCGCCGGAAGACCAAGGGUUUCUGUUCGACGCUAAUCGGAGCAGAGUGAGUCGGCCCCUAAGGCGAGGCCGAAAGGCGUAGUCGAUGGGAAACGGGUUAAUAUUCCCGUACCUCACUGUAUUGCGAUGGGGAGACGGAGAAGGCUAGGUGAGCCAGGCGUUGGUUGUCCUGGUGAAAGUCGGUAGGCUGGAGAAUCAGGCAAAUCCGGUUCUCCAAGGCCGAGAGACGAGACGAACGGACCACGGUCCGGAAGUCAUUGAUGCCACGCUUCCAGGAAAAACCUCUAAGCUUCAGAUACAGUGGGACCGUACCCCAAACCGACACAGGUGGUCAGGGUGAGAAUCCUAAGGCGCUUGAGAGAACUCGGGUGAAGGAACUAGGCAAAAUGGUGCCGUAACUUCGGGAGAAGGCACGCCGCCGGUACGUGAAACCCCUCGCGGGUGGAGCCGAAAGCGGUCGAAGAUACCAGGUGGCUGCAACUGUUUAUUAAAAACACAGUACUCUGCAAACGCGUAAGCGGACGUAUAGGGUAUGACGCCUGCCCGGUGCCGGAAGGUUAAGUGAUGGUGUUAGCGCAAGCGAAGCUCUUGAUCGAAGCCCCGGUAAACGGCGGCCGUAACUAUAACGGUCCUAAGGUAGCGAAAUUCCUUGUCGGGUAAGUUCCGACCUGCACGAAUGGCGUAAUGAUGGCCACGCUGUCUCCACCCGAGACUCAGUGAAAUUGAAAUCGCAGUGAAGAUGCUGUGUACCCGCGGCUAGACGGAAAGACCCCGUGAACCUUUACUAUAGCUUCACACUGGACGCUGAUGUUGCUUGUGUAGGAUAGCUGGGAGGCUUGGAAACUCGGACGCCAGUUCGAGUGGAGCCAACCUUGAAAUACCAGCCUGGCAUCAUUGGCGUUCUAACUCAGGUCCGUCAUCCGGAUCGAGGACCGUGUGUGGUGGGUAGUUUGACUGGGGCGGUCUCCUCCCAAAGAGUAACGGAGGAGCACGAAGGUACCCUCAGUACGGUUGGAAAUCGUGCAUUGAGUGCAAGAGCAUAAGGGUGCUUGACUGCGAGACAGACACGUCGAGCAGGUACGAAAGUAGGUUCUAGUGAUCCGGUGGUUCUGUAUGGAAGGGCCAUCGCUCAACGGAUAAAAGGUACUCCGGGGAUAACAGGCUGAUACCGCCCAAGAGUUCACAUCGACGGCGGUGUUUGGCACCUCGAUGUCGGCUCAUCACAUCCUGGGGCUGAAGUCGGUCCCAAGGGUAUGGCUGUUCGCCAUUUAAAGUGGUACGCGAGCUGGGUUUAGAACGUCGUGAGACAGUUCGGUCCCUAUCUGCCGUGGGCGUUGGAGAUUUGAGAAGAGCUGCUCCUAGUACGAGAGGACCGGAGUGGACGCACCUCUGGUGUUCCGGUUGUCACGCCAGUGGCAUUGCCGGGUAGCUAUGUGCGGACAGGAUAACCGCUGAAAGCAUCUAAGCGGGAAGCCCCCUUCAAGAUGAGAUCUCCCCGAGGCCUCGAGCCUCCUGAAGGGCCCAGCGAGACCAGCUGGUUGAUAGGCCGGAUGUGGAAGCGCUGCAAGGCGUUGAGCUAACCGGUACUAAUGGCCCGUGAGGCUUGACCAUAUAACACCCAAGGGGU